UUUAAUGGAAAUUAUUAUUUUAUACAGCAUUUAGAUGUAGCGGAUCUACUACGUGAUACGACAGUGGUUUUAGAUGCAGUGAAGAAGAGCAACCUGGCUCGUGUUCAACUGUCGGGAUGCGUAAGGCAGAAAUUCGACUCCACUCCAUUUAGCUGCUGGUUACAAUAAUCUAAAAGUGGUCGAGUAUCUCCUACAACAUUGCGCUGAUGUAAACGCACGACAAGGGAGGUUUGAUUCUUCAUAUGGAUAUUUGGAUAUAGCUACUUUGCUUAUCAAACACUGCGGUUAAUGCUAUGGACAAAUGGGGCUAGAGCCCAUUGCACGAAGCGGCCCACAAAGGUCGAAUUCAGCUGUACAUUACUCGUAAGAAUACCAUUGCUCACCAAUUCAUCAAAAACAUUCUAAACGUUUGAUACUGUUCGCUUACGGUGCCGAUCUGUUCAUGAAAAACCAGGAAGGCAAAACUAGUUUGGAUUUGGCAACUGCGGAAAGCGUCAAGUAUCUAUCGUCUAAAAUGUGGUAUCAAUCGAAUCAUCCGAGUCCGCUUGCCUUAUUAGACUACAGCUGAAACAUUUAAUUGCACUGGUCGAGCGAGAACAGAUUAAAAUUUGCCACGAAGAUCUGAAACAGGUUGGUGUCUCGGCGUACGGUUUUUGUCAUAUGAUACUGAAAGGGAUUGCUACUUUGCGUACGACAUAACAUGAAUCAUCAAACAAAUAAUUGUCUGGGAUUAACUCCAAAUCCGAGUACUGUUCUGGUUGAUCUUCUUACCGAUGAGUAAGAGUUUUUUGCCGCCAAAAAAGAAAUGCAAGCCACUAUAAGAGCACCAAGAUAACGGUCACGCUAGCGCUAUUUUCACCCGAUACUACAUUGUCAGAGUAGGUGAAGAAAUUAAGUACUGGUCUACAGUACAUAAUGCAUAUGAUUGUAGGUGCAAAAAGUAUAGAAUCUAAAACUAUGAGAGCGAUACGUCCACCCUCGCAAGGAAAUCUUGAAAGAAAACGGUCGCCAAGCACGCGAAUGAAUUCUGUUUCAUGGGUCAUCCUUUAUCAAUGCCAUCGUGCAGAAAGUGCAGAACCAGUAUGUUUUCGGAAUCAGUGGCGCAUAAGGAUAAUCAUGCUAUCAGUGUCAUAGAAAAUUGCUGCUCUGCCGAGUGGCACUAGGCAAAUCGUUCCUGCAGUUCAGUGUAAUGAAGAUGGCGCGUGCGCUACCUGGGGACAACUCCGUCAUCGGACGACCCUCGGCUGGUGAGUCGCACUUUCCUGAAUACGUUGUAUACCGUGGUGAACAGAUCAUAAUAUUUCGAUAUGUGCUGGCAAAAUUGUAUGAUGGAACUGCAAUAAGCGAAAUCUAAGAUAUCCCAGGCAUCAACUAAGAAUAGAGAGCUUUUUGAUAUACAUCAUUCAUCUACUGAAACGGGAUACCGGGCGCAGUUUGAAUCAGCUGUUGUUGUCAACCGACGCAUUCUCAGCAAUUAAUCAGGAAAUAAUUAUAAUCCCAUAUACUGCCGCUAGAAGCAUAAUUGUCCCAUGUGUAUAGGGAUUCCCAUAGCACAUGGGACAGUUAUGCUUCUAGCAGCAGUAUACUACCUUGGAAAACUCCAGAUUGUCACUGAUAUCGGAGUUACUGUAUUAAGAUCCAAUUGAUAUGUAGAGGAUCGGGGACAGUAGUUAGAAGACGAGCGCGGUAUUGGUAAUGUACCGGGUUACGAAUACGCCGGAAUUACAAUGGUGGGUUUAUCAUUGCAAGAGAAAAUUUAGAGAACCGCGCCAGUGACGGUGAGUUGUGUUUUAGGCAACAUGCUAGCGUACAAUUUAUAGGGCGAAAAAAAGAUCAAUGGAAACCAAUUAUUAACAAUAACGAUGUACGAAAGAUUCAAAAUACUCGUUUUGCGAAGAGUCUGAAACAGCAAAAAGAGUAUAGGAAUAAUUUUGAAAAACAGAGAUAAACUAUCAUACAUUAACAUUUCGAAACAAACAUGUUUUAUCGUUAUAUUGACAUUUUUGUUGGCAAUAAAUUACUAAAACGUUUUUACCUCUGUAUACUAUUAAUCUAAAUUAUGUCAGAAAGGGUCGUAACAGUGAACCUAUUC
This is a long non-coding RNA of Topomyia yanbarensis, 2092 nucleotides long. RefSeq lists it as uncharacterized. Lineage: Eukaryota; Metazoa; Arthropoda; Insecta; Diptera; Culicidae. The transcript has 5 exons. The record is from RefSeq and is a predicted model, not a curated record.